GGAGGGAUGACCGAGCGGACGAAGGUGGCAGUCUUGAAAACUGCUGUGGGGUUCACGCCCCACCGUGGGUUCGAAUCCCACUCCCUCCG
Molecule: transfer RNA, 89 nt
Filed under: Acidimicrobiia bacterium
Lineage: Bacteria; Bacillati; Actinomycetota; Acidimicrobiia
Also listed under: 1 other name
Description: tRNA-Ser
Rfam family: tRNA
About the family: Transfer RNA (tRNA) molecules are approximately 80 nucleotides in length. Their secondary structure includes four short double-helical elements and three loops (D, anti-codon, and T loops). Further hydrogen bonds mediate the characteristic L-shaped molecular structure. tRNAs have two regions of fundamental functional importance: the anti-codon, which is responsible for specific mRNA codon recognition, and the 3' end, to which the tRNAs corresponding amino acid is attached (by aminoacyl-tRNA synthetases). tRNAs cope with the degeneracy of the genetic code in two manners: having more than one tRNA (with a specific anti-codon) for a particular amino acid; and 'wobble' base-pairing, i.e. permitting non-standard base-pairing at the 3rd anti-codon position.
Source: RNAcentral